GAUCUAUUUAAUUGAGGUGGGUGGCAGGAUGUUCCAUUAUGAGUGAUUAGUCCAGGGGUCUGUCAACACUAGUUAGAAGAAGCCAUCAUCAUUCUUUCAGGAGUAGCCUCCAUUGGUGGCUGUGGUGUGAGGGGGCACGAUGGAUCCCUGGAUGCUGUGGAUAGACUUUUUCUUAGAGUUUGUCCAGUGUCUGAUGUUAGCUCAGGAAUUGAUGGAAGAUAGCAGAGGAAAGGGUAAAAAUACUUUAGAGAAUUGGGUCUUGAUGAUUCCAUGGGCAUUCUGGAUAGUCUCCUGGUGUAACAGUACCUCACUUUGUUCUUGAAUGUCCCUGUGUGGUGGUUGUUCAAGGCUGCUAAGCAGAAACCCAGGUCAUCCUUUGGUAUCUCAGGAUCAAAAAAAUAAAUCACCUCAUGGAGUUGAUUUGAGCUGAACUACUCCAGGGUUCCUUUUGCUGAGAAAAGUGAGUUGGGUUCUUAUAUGGUAGUUUCUUGGAAGCCCAGAGUUUUCCCCAAGUAGGAAUCAUUAUCCAAUGUAGGGCCCUGGAAAGGGUCUCUGGUGAAAGGCAUGGUAAAAUGCAGAAUGAGAUGCUGGUGUGAGAGUCUUUCAUCUUGUUUAGAGCCUCCACUUUCCAGUCUUUGUUAGGAAGUUCUCCCGUAUCAUCAGUUUAUAGAAUGGUCUCUAAAGUUUUCUUGCAAUAUUUUUUUCACUGUUUUGCUCUCAUAUUUUUAUCUGUUUGGAUUUUUUUGUAUGUGUGUAAUAUAUAAGAUUAGAGUCCACUUUAUUUUUUCCCAUCUGGAUAAGCAGUUGUACCAACAUCAUUUAUUAAAUAGUCCAUUUUCUUCCCACCAAAUUAAACUUUCACAUAUAGCAUGUGUUAACUUUUCAUAAAUAUGGCUGUUGGUCAUAAAAAUCCAUAAGUAUGGAUUUUCUAUUUUGUUUUACCAAUUUUCCAUUUCUGUUUGACCUUAUGUUAAGGCAAGACUCUGUUCUUUUUAUGAUUUUCUUUGCUAUUUUCAGCCAUUUAUUUUUCAUAUGAAUUUGAAGAUAAUUUUAUGAAAUUUCAUUAAAAAUAUUGUUUGGAUUCUAACUGGAACUAAUUCAAUGUACAUACUAAUUUGAGGAGGCUUAUUAGUAGGUCUUUUCCCCCAAGAACAUAGCAUAACUUUCCACUCUCAAGAUCUGGUAUAUUCCAGUACAUUUAUUUCAUUUAAGCCUGUGUCUUUCUUAUUUUUUUUUAAAGAUUUUAAUUAUUUAUGAGAGACACACAGAGAGGCAGAGACAUAGGCAGAGGGAGAAGCAGACUCCCAGUGGGAAGCCCGAUGUGGGGGCUUGAUCCCAGGACCCUGCGAUCAUGACCUGAGUCAAAAGCAGAUGUUCAACCACUGAGCCAACCAGAUGCCCCUGUGUCUUUCUUACAAAUAGAUCUCUAAAUGUGUUAUGAUUUUGGAUGCUUAAAUAUAAUACUUUACUCAUUUCCUUUGCUAAUGCUUGUCAGUAGAAUAAAGUUAGAAUUUUUUAAAUUAAAAAAAAAUUUUUUUUAAGAUUUAUUUAUUCAUGAAAGGCAGAGAGAAAGAAAGGCAGAGACACAGGCGAGGGAGAAGCAGGCUCCAUGUUUUGGAGCCUGAUGUGGGACUUGAUCGGGGACUCCAGGACCAUGCCCCAGGCUGAAGGCAGGCGCUAAACCUCGGAGCCACCCAGGGACCACCCAGAAUUUUUUUUAGAUAUUUAUCUUUUAGUCAGCCACCUUACCAAAGAGUGUAAGGUCACAUGGUGAGAUUGGGUAAUGGGUGGGAAUUGAAUGUGUUGGGGUCUGUGGGGACAGGAGUGGGUUGGCCUGGAGCCUGAGGGUAUUAGGAAAGUAAGGGGGCGCCUGAGUGGCUCAGCAGUUGAGCAUCUGCCUUUGGCUCAGGGUGUGAUCCUGGAGUACUGGGUUCAAGUGCCACAUCAGGUUCCCCUCAGGGAGCCUGGUUCUCCUCUGCCUGUGUCUCCCUCUGUGUGUGUCUCUCAUGACUAAAUAAAAUCUUUAAAAAAAAAAAAAGAUCAAGCACAAGAAGAAGAAUUGAUUGUGUGUUCAGGGCAUUGUGUCAAUAGGAGUCUGUUCCACUAUGAGCAACUGUGAGUAACAGGAACAAAAAAUAAUGGAGUACAUGGAAUAAUGUUUAUUUCUCUCUUACAUAAAGAAAGAAGUCUAUUGUAGGCAAUUCAGGCUCUAUAGUCCCAGACUACUAGCUAUAUUCUGCUAUCCUUUAGUUGUAGCUCUCAUUAUUAUGGUCUAAGAUGAACUCCAGGCAUCACAUCCAUGUUCCAGUAGGAGGAUGGAGCAAGGGGAGGAAGAGACAAAGGGCUCAUCAUAGAUACAUCAUAGGAAGUUUCCCAAAUGCUGCCACACAGUAAUUCUACUCACCUUGUUGACCAGAACUGAAUUAUACUGUCGUGUCUAGCUCCAAGGGAUGCUAGGAAAUAUUUUUAUUCAAGAUCAAAAGAAUUUUUUAAUAUUUUAUUUAUUUUUUCAUGAGAGACAGAGACAAGCAGAGACAGGCAGAGGGAGAAGCAGGCUCUCCCCAAGGAGCCCAAUGUGGGACUUGAUCUCAGACCCCGGGAUCACACCCUGAGCAGAAGGCAGAUGCUCAACUGCUGAGCCACCCAGGCAUCCCUCAAAAUCAAAAUUCUAAAGAUUAUAAGGAUUUUUAUUCCAAAUCAGGAUUCCAAAAUGGUGAUAACAGACGUAUUGGGAUUGGGAUAUUGGGAUUGGCAACCAGCAGUCUCUGAUGCAGGUAUAUUUGUGGGGACGUGGGGGCAUGUGCUUUCAUUUGUAGCUCUCAGCUGCUACUGCAGAAAGCAGAAGUUGAAUGGAGCAUGGCGCAGAGGAUUGGGGGACAGCAGAAGAAUAGGCAUGGAGGGUGUGGUUAAGAGAACAGUUUAAGUUUGGUUGGAAAGAAAAGAUGGCUGUCUGGGGGACAUGGACCGGUAGAAAGAGGAGGGAUCAAGGGAUUAGUGAUCUUAGAAAGGCUAGAUGGUUGGGAGGCUAUGUCAGAAAAUGCCUUAUUUGUGGGGCACCUGGGUGGCUCUGUCAGUUAAGCAUUCUACUCUUGUUUUUGGUUCAGGUCAUGAUCUGAGGGUUGUGAGAUUGAGUCUUGUGUUGAACUCUGUGCUGGGUGUGGAACCUGCUUAAGACUCUCUGUUUCCUUUUUCCUCUGCCCACUGCCCCUGCUCACACACUCUCUUUCUCUCCCUUCCUCUCUAAAAAAAAAAAAAAAAAAAAAAAAAAA
RNAcentral lists this long non-coding RNA (3269 nucleotides) under Canis lupus familiaris (dog). Its description in RNAcentral is "lncRNA (ENSCAFG00000054395.1)". The record is from RNAcentral. Lineage: Eukaryota; Metazoa; Chordata; Mammalia; Carnivora; Canidae.